GGGGAAAGCUGGCAGUCACAGGCCUCACCCCUCUCCCACACAGCCCUCAGUCCUAAAGGCUGGUCUCACUCCCAUCCUGCCACGCAACAGCACAGGGUCUAUUUCGAGACAGCCAGUGACCAGGGCUGAGAACUUGCCCCAGACCACCAGCCUCCUCACUGAGAAAGCAAGCAGAAUCACAGUUUUUUGGAAUCUCAGGGAGCCUUCAGCGGCAAUCCAGUUCCUUCAAAGGGUCUGUGGAUUCUCUCAGUUUUCAUGAAACCAGCCAAGGCAAUGUGAAGGAUUCCAAGAGAGGCAAUAUGGAUGAAACCAUUUAUUAGAUUUAUAAGAGCUGAAGGAAAGUGGUAAAGCUAUCCAUCUUCUAUACUUUAUUGAGAACAGGACCAAUGACUCAGACUAUCAGGACAGUAUCUCCAAGACAGAAUUGAAAUCCUAAAGGGUGUCAGCUGUGACCCUCGAAGGAAAGGGAUCACCCUCUUUCUGACCCUAUACCACCUUCAGCAGGGAUGAAGGCAGUCAGAGAAAACUUAGUUAAAAAAUUUCUAAACUGCUUUGCUGAUUUGAUCUGGGGCCCUGGAGUGCCAACAUCCUGUGAUAGCGGCUGAUUGUUGAUGCCUGGGAGGAUACAGCAGUGACGAUCCAAAUUUACAAGACUCAACAUGGUUUUCAAAACUUCCUUUUAAAAAAGAUGUUCCUGAGUUCUGGAAUCUGAACAAAAUAUGUCUGGUUAUUAUAUAAUUCUAAUGGUCCUUGUGGAUGCUACCAUUAGAGUUCAGUUAGUGUCUCAUCUAUCACUGUAAUAUUUGUAUUGUAACACUAAUCGUGGCAAAGUAUGAUUUGAUAAAUGCUCAUUCUCAAAUCUUUUAUUUUAGUGUGUUCAUGUAAGAUUAAUGACCAUGAUGACUUGAGAUAGAAUUUUUUGAUUUGUUGCUUUCUUUGUGUCUUCC
RNAcentral lists this long non-coding RNA (947 nucleotides) under Homo sapiens (human). RNAcentral describes it as "HSALNT0297866". Lineage: Eukaryota; Metazoa; Chordata; Mammalia; Primates; Hominidae. The record is from RNAcentral.